GGGAGGGGAUGGGACAUUGAGGAGCAGGACAGUCUUCAGGAAGCUUACAGUCUGCUUUGGGUUGUUUCAGGAACACAGUCAUCCCUCAGAAAUGGAUUGGGUGACAAGUGGUCUGCAUGCUGCACACGGGCACUGGAGUGGACAAUUUAUUUGGUAUUGACUUAGUGUGAGGCAUGCCCUAGACCCGAGGAAUAUAAAGGGGACUGGGAGAAAGCCCGGCCUCCCUGGAGCUCUUCACGUGAUGACAGGCGCAGAUCAGCGGACAGGCGCGUAACAGGAGGUGCUAAGUGCGCAGGUGGGGUCACGUGCCGCGUCACAGCAGUGCUGGAGGAGAGUCCUGACUCAUGGCCUGGGAUGCUGGGGUUCCUCCCCAGAGAAGCUCUUUUGGACCUGGGAGAAGGAGUAGGACUUUGAUACACCAUGGAGGUCUCUGAAUGUAACCAAAUUGUUCUCCUCUUAUCAUUCCCAUUCACUGGUGUACUUGUUUGUGGAGCCUGCAGAACUGCCUUUUUCAAGAAUGGCAGCUUGGCCUCUAAAUCUGCUUCCCACUGAUGGGAAGAGCUGACAGAAGCUUUAGAGAGGCACAGGGUGAGUUCCUAAAACCAGAGUCAACACACACUCUUCAUCUGUUUUGUGCUUCACUCCCUGCUCAUCUUCCUAAAACACUGAGUUUGGUCAUAUCAUGUCCUACAAGUUGUCAAUGAUUUCCCAUGAUCUUGUCUUCAGGAUAAAGUUCCUUAGUCAAAAGCAAUGAAGACCUGACCUAAUCUGUAAGGCAAAAUCAACACUUUUUAGCCUGGCCUUCCAUGCCCUUCCAUGCCCUUCGAGCCCCCAGAGCACCCAUGGCAGUCCAUCUCUCUCUACUUGUCCAGAGGGACACUCUCUUAGAGCCAGUGGCUCCUACUCACGGUUCCCCGAACACGUCGUGGGAAUGUUUGCCUUCAUACCUUCCCAGAUCAUUUUCCUGAUCUCAGACACCCUCCGUCCUCAUUCAUUCACUCUUCAAUUGUCCAACAAAUAUUUGUUGCUCAUGCAACCUGGAUCACCCACAUAGUUUCAAGACUGCAUCUUCUAAACUAUUUAAAUCCUAUCCAUUCUUCAAGAAAUGUUUCAUGACGCUUCCUUAACUGCUAAGGACCCGCAGAUUCUCUUCCUCUUGGGACUCACACACUGACUCAUCUCCCGAUCUUUUGGUGCUCAGCAAAGUGGAGGCUUCUGUUUUGGACUUAGAGUCAAGACCAUUAAAUAAGACUAUGCUCUAAAAAGUACACCUCCGUGGCCCGGAACGAGUGAAUUAACAUCUAUGAGUUUCCAUUUCCUUGUCUAUAAAAUUGUGAAAUUGCAACUUAAGAUUAGUUCUGAAGAUUAAAUGAGGUAACAUAGGUGAAAAUGCUACAUUUAUGUAAGAAAUUACUCUUUCAUAAGGAUGUCAAUGUUUAAAUACGCAUUUUCUCAAUUUUGUUAAUGAAAUACUUUGAAAUUCUUUUUUCUAAUGAAACCUGCUGAAUGUAAAAGAGACCCGUACUAAAGAAAGAUACCACAUGAAGCACCAAGGGUCUCUUUCUGGAUCUAUCAUGACUCUUGUGACUGUUUCAGCAGCACAGAAAUUAAAGGCGAUUGUUAUUCUGGAGGAAGACAAUGAGUCUCAUCUAUAUCUUGUUUGGGUUGAUUUUGUAAACAGAACAUUCCAAAGAUCAUUCUUGCCUUUUGUUUCCACUGAGAACUAGAAUAAAGUAAAACAAACUAUCAAUUUAAGGAAAGCCUCGAAAUUGUUAGCAAUUUCUUCAGUAACUUUCAUCCAUCAACUGAUUUUAUGAACACAAAUUUGCAGAAAUGGGCAAGAAAAACUACUUAACUCAUUGGUGGGAAGCAGUGGGCUCUCUAAGGAGGGAGAGAUAGCAGUGAUUUCACCACCGGACCGUGGAACACAAAGAGCCUGGAAGAGUCUAUCACUUUCAACUGAAACCGCAAGAAGAACUAAGUAGGUUAAGCCCUAAGAAUGUUCCUAGGUAACCUACUUGAGUUGAAAUUUGACUAAGAAUCCUUACACCCUACCUAAGAGAGGUAACGCUAUUAGGAUCGGAAGUGAUUGGAAGCUUUGUUUCAGAUCUCGUCCAAAAGGGAGAACGGUCAAUGACAAAGCUGCUGUGAAUAGUAUUCUGGGGGCGUGGUGGAACCCCGAUUCACUGCUAUCUCCCGAAUCAGCAACUUGACAGAGCGCGCCUCCCGGGCCUUGGAAGCCUUCCAUUCCGAGCUGGCUGGGUGGGACUCAGGUUUUACGGUAUGCUGGACUUUUUCCCCGUGAGUUAAAACACAUUUAUAGUAACUAAGUGGUUAAUGAUGAGAAAAAACCCCAAACUACUGUACUAAUAAUCAACCUC
Long non-coding RNA from Homo sapiens (human), 2381 nucleotides. Ensembl annotates it as PACRG antisense RNA 3. Its record names the gene PACRG-AS3. NCBI's taxonomy places the organism in Eukaryota, Metazoa, Chordata, Mammalia, Primates, Hominidae. The record is from Ensembl.